CAGCCGCCGCGGUAACACCGGCGGCCCGAGUGGUGAUCGUGAUUAUUGGGUCUAAAGGGUCCGUAGCCGGUUUGGUCAGUCCUCCGGGAAAUCUGAUAGCUCAACUAUUAGGCUUUCGGGGGAUACUGCCAGACUUGGAACCGGGAGAGGUAAGAGGUACUACAGGGGUAGGAGUGAAAUCUUGUAAUCCCUGUGGGACCACCUGUGGCGAAGGCGUCUUACCAGAACGGGUUCGACGGUGAGGGACGAAAGCUGGGGGCACGAACCGGAUUAGAUACCCGGGUAGUCCCAGCCGUAAACGAUGCUCGCUAGGUGUCAGGCAUGGCGCGACCGUGUCUGGUGCCGCAGGGAAGCCGUGAAGCGAGCCACCUGGGAAGUACGGCCGCAAGGCUGAAACUUAAAGGAAUUGGCGGGGGAGCACAACAACGGGUGGAAGCCUGCGGUUUAAUUGGACUCAACGCCGGACAACUCACCGGGGGCGACAGCAAUAUGUAGGCCAAGCUGAAGACUUUGCCUGAAUCGCUGAGAAGAGGUGCAUGG
This 540-nucleotide ribosomal RNA is filed under the name uncultured archaeon. Its description in RNAcentral is "bacterial SSU rRNA". It matches the Rfam family "Archaeal small subunit ribosomal RNA", at positions 459 to 997 of the family's 1478-position model. The record is from RNAcentral.